UGCGCCCAUCCUAAGCCAGAUCCUGGAGA
Molecule: non-coding RNA, 29 nt
Filed under: Rattus norvegicus (Norway rat)
Lineage: Eukaryota; Metazoa; Chordata; Mammalia; Rodentia; Muridae
Source: RNAcentral